This is a long non-coding RNA of Brassica napus (rape), 625 nucleotides long. RefSeq lists it as uncharacterized. The record is from RefSeq and is a predicted model, not a curated record. The transcript is spliced from 4 exons. Lineage: Eukaryota; Viridiplantae; Streptophyta; Magnoliopsida; Brassicales; Brassicaceae.
AUUCAUAUUCUUAGCAAAAAAAGUGUGAAGAAGCCAAAGUCGAUGAUGCAAGUGUAGAGUCUCUAAAUUCCUUAGAAGAGCAGUUCAAGGCUGCUCUGUCUAUAACUAGAGCUAGGAAGACACAACUAAUGAUGGAGUUUCUGAAAAAUCUUGAAGAAAAGGAGAAGCUGUUGAGAGAAGAGAACCAGAUUUUAGCUAGCCAGCUAACAAAGAUGGAGAAGAAGAGGCUUCCGGAAACAGAGGGUGUAAGAGCAAUGUCAUCGGAAAAUAGCUCCGGCAACAGCCCACCAGAGACCCUCCCGCUUCUAAAGUAACACUCAUCAUCGACGGCUGCUUUUGCACCAUAUCCUGAUUACAAAUAAAACAAAAUAAAUGUAAAAGAAAUAAUCAUAUGUGUAUCUUAAACAUCUUCUUCUUCACCUGAUCAUACGAAAAGUUGAAGAAAAAAAACUCAGGGAAAGCAUUAAAACUAUCUUUGUUGCUACAUUUGGAGACAUGAUCACGGUCUCAUAUGGUUUCUAUAUAUGUUUUGUAUGUUCUUGUGUCCCUUGAAACUAUGACUUAUUGUUUAUAAAGGUCUUGAUUUCUUCAGCUUGAAGAACCCUAAUUAAAAGCUAACUCAUUU